Molecule: ribosomal RNA, 383 nt
Filed under: uncultured eukaryote
Lineage: Eukaryota
Description: partial 18S ribosomal RNA
Rfam family: Eukaryotic small subunit ribosomal RNA
Source: RNAcentral
CAAUAGCGUAUAUUAAAGUUGUUGCAGUUAAAAAGCUCGUAGUUGGAUUUCUGGUGGGAGCGAUCGGUCAGGCGCUUAGCGCGAGUACUUGCAUCGUCUCCGGCCAUCCUUGGGGAGAGUCUGUCUGGCAUUAGGUUGUCGGGCAGAGGAUCCUCAUCGUUUACUGUGAAAAAAUUAGAGUGUUCAAAGCAGGCUUAUGCCGUUGAAUAUAUUAGCAUGGAAUAAUAAGAUAGGACUUUGGUACUAUUUUGUUGGUUUGCGCACCAAAGUAAUGAUUAAUAGGGACAGUUGGGGGUAUUCGUAUUCCGUUGUCAGAGGUGAAAUUCUUGGAUUUACGGAAGACGAACUACUGCGAAAGCAUUUACCAAGGAUGUUUUCAUUAA